GUGUACGUCUUCGCCGCGGGCUGGUCCGCGCUUUCCCUGCUACGUUUCUUUCUCGAGGGACUGUUCCCUUCCUUUGGUUUCGUGGUCUCUGCGGCUUGGGUCCGGAAACUGCUGAAAGGAACUGGAUCUCAACUCUGCGGGUGCAGGCAGGAGGCGGCGGGGAGCUGAAGCAGAACGACCUGAAGAGAGUUCCUGGAUGUGGAGUUUGUUUUUUUAGAACCAUCCUUGGGCUGUGAAGUGUUUGAUGAAAAAAUGUUUGGAAGAUUGACUUUUCCACAACUGCUUUUUGCUAGCCUCCUUGGAAUUGCUGGAGGAAUAUAUAUUUAUCAACCAAUAUUUGAACAGUAUUCCAGAGAUCAGAAGGAGUUAAAAGAAAAGAUGAAAUUGGUACAAGACUCAGAAGAGAAGAAAAGUUGAUACUACAUGGAGUUGAACUGUACUGUUGCUGCUGCUGCUGCUGUUACUGCUGCUGCUGUUGCUGUUGCUGUUGCUGCUGCUGCUGCUGCUAAAUAGCCAUUCAAAUCAAAGCUAUAGUGAGAUGCUACUUCACAUACACUAGGAUGACUGCUGUCAAAGAGAGAGGAAGUAGUAAGUGUUGAUGGGAAUGUGAAGAAGUUGAAACCCUUGAAUAUUGCUGGUGAGGAUAUAAAACAAGUUUGGCCGUUGUGAAAGUUUGGAGUUCCUCAGAAGAACAUACAGUGUUACCAUAUGACCCAGCGAUUCUGCUUUUAGAUGUGUAUCCCAGAGUAGUGAAAACAUGUCUGGAUAAACAUCUGUAAAUGAAUACUCAAAGCAUCAUUAUUAUAAUAGCCCCAAAGUGGAAAUAAUCCAAAUGUCUCAGCCAGUGAACACAUAAACAUAUGGUAUAUCCACGCAAUGGAAUAUUACUUGGUUGAGCACAAAAGGCCACAUAUUGUGUGAUUCUAUUUAUAUGACAUGUCCAGGAUAGGUAAAUGCAUAGAGACGAAGUGGAUUAGUAUUAAAUAUUUCCCAGUGAUUAAGGGGAAGAAGGUAUAGGGAGUGACUGCUAAUGGAUAUAGCGUUACUCUUUAGUAUAAUGAAAAUGUUUUGGAACUAGA
Molecule: long non-coding RNA, 1079 nt
Organism: Capra hircus (goat)
Lineage: Eukaryota; Metazoa; Chordata; Mammalia; Artiodactyla; Bovidae
Gene: PIGBOS1
Product: PIGB opposite strand 1
Exons: 3
Source: RefSeq, a predicted model, not a curated record